This 440-nucleotide ribosomal RNA is filed under the name uncultured bacterium. RNAcentral's name for it is "partial 16S ribosomal RNA". It matches the Rfam family "Bacterial small subunit ribosomal RNA", at positions 338 to 795 of the family's 1533-position model. The record is from RNAcentral.
CCUACGGGUGGCAGCAGUGGGGAAUAUUGCACAAUGGGGGAAACCCUGAUGCAGCGACGCCGCGUGAGUGAAGAAGUAUUUCGGUAUGUAAAGCUCUAUCAGCAGGGAAGAAAAUGCUGGUACCUGAUUAAGAAGCCCCGGCUAACUACGUGCCAGCAGCCGCGGUAAUACGUAAGGGGCCAGCGUUAUACGGAUUUACUGGGUGGAAAGGGAGAGUCGAUGGCAGCAAAAGUGUGGGGGGAAAUGCCGGGGGUUAACACCCGAACUGCUUUGGAAACUGUGCAGCUAGAGUGCAGGAGAGGUAAGUGGAAUGCGUAGUGUAGCGGUGAAAUGCGUAGAUAUUAGGAGGAACACCAGUGGCGAAGGCGGCUUACUGGACUGUAACUGACGUUGAGGCUCGAAAGCGUGGGGAGCGAACAGGAUUAGAUACCCCGGUAGUC